ACUGUAAUUCUAUUAAAUAGUAAUUGAAGGGUCGCGAGAGGCUAUGAUACAGGAUCAGCAGUGUGUAAGCCGCCCGUUUGAACUUUAAUUUGGAAUCCCGGGCAGAUGGGAUCAUGGCCUCUUUGUGGUGCUCGCAGAUUUAAAACUCGCCGGCACAUAGAGGGAAAAACCUGCAAUGCAGAGUCAUUCAUUAAACAUGAAAGGUUGUGGAGGAGAGGCUGCGCAUCCGGACUCCGAGAAAUAACUCUCCUUUAUAUCCCCACCGGGGAGAAGCGCACCUGGAGGACUUCUUUAUGCCGAAUCACGAUCCGCCUGCGAAACUUCAGUCCCACUUUGGGCCGGGGGAAGGCAGCUUUAUUCACCGUUACUUACCACGAGGCAGUACAUCACUGCUUCGCCGUCUCUCCUGUGCGAGGCGCCUCGUCUGACUGUUCCCAAGCCGUCCCCUUCAGAGGGUGCCGGAGCCGAGCUGCGGGCACGGCACAGGGGAAGAAGCUGCAGCCUCAAAGCAGAAAUGAGUGCACUGGAAACUGCACUCUCCCAUCCCCCACGGGCGGAAGGAGAGCGGUGCGGUGGGGCCGCUGUGUGCUCCCGGGGGUGCGCGCUGUGGGACCCUUAGGCCCGAGGCCGCCUCGUCUGAAAACAAAAGAGUUCCCGAGUCUGAGGUCCUCCCCCCUCCCCCGGCUGUGUGGUAUUAAAGAGGCGCUCCCAUUGUUUAUUUCUAAAUAUUUGUGAAGCAGACAGUGUAUGGGUUAACCUAAUUAACACAUCCGCACUGUAUAUUCGUGGACCAAACGGUACGGCGAAUUUCUAAUGUGAUGGCUGAAUGCGAUAGGCAUUGCUGUGCUCCGGGAGAUUACGGCAACACUGGAGCAUUUCCAGAUUGUAGAUGGUUUUAGAUGUUGAAUUUCCAGAUGAGUAUUUACCAUCAUAACUAAUUUAAGACCAUUAUUAAAUAGAAAUUCUCAGCAGGGCUCUUUAAUGAUGGAACACGUUACUAAUUACAGAGUUUACGCUCUGUUUUGGCUAAGCAGUCUAGAG
RNAcentral lists this long non-coding RNA (1041 nucleotides) under Numida meleagris (helmeted guineafowl). RNAcentral's name for it is "lncRNA (ENSNMEG00000016390.1)". Lineage: Eukaryota; Metazoa; Chordata; Aves; Galliformes; Numididae. The record is from RNAcentral.